GUCCACGCCCUAAACUAUGAAUACUCGGUCUUGGCGAUAUACAGUCAGGGCCCAAGCGAAAGCGUUAAGUAUUCCACCUGGGAAGUACGUUAGCAAGAAUGAAACUCAAAGGAAUUGACGGGGGCCCGCACAAGCGGAGGAGCAUGUGGUUUAAUUCGAUGAUACGCGAGAAACCUUACCUGGGCUUGAAUGUGAGUGACCGGUGCCGAAAGGUACUUUUCCCGCAAGGGACACAAAACAAGGUGCUGCAUGGCUGUCGU
Molecule: ribosomal RNA, 260 nt
Filed under: uncultured bacterium
Lineage: Bacteria
Description: partial 16S ribosomal RNA
Rfam family: Bacterial small subunit ribosomal RNA
Source: RNAcentral